Rosa rugosa (rugosa rose) is the source of this 1638-nucleotide long non-coding RNA. RefSeq lists it as uncharacterized. The transcript is spliced from 2 exons. NCBI's taxonomy places the organism in Eukaryota, Viridiplantae, Streptophyta, Magnoliopsida, Rosales, Rosaceae. The record is from RefSeq and is a predicted model, not a curated record.
UUAAAAAAGAAAAAACAUGUCACGCGCUGAGUUUGAGAACCCACGAGCUCUGCUAGGGUUCGCUCAAUUUGGGUUGUGGUUUGCAGGUGUCGUGAGGUGCCGGGGUUUUCUCCGCCCUCACUAGUCCUGUUAUCAGAAGCAAUCGACGCGGGCGUGAUAGCUGCUGCGAGAGUUCGAUUGGAGAAGAUAGAGAACUUUGUUUCACUCGAAUUCGAUUAUUUUGCAAAGGGGAAAACUUUGCCUUCAAUGUUGUCGCUGGUGUUUCUUGCUUCGGAAAGGUUAAAUCAAGAUGACGACCAUCGUUUGCUGCUGCACGAGAAUGGGCACAAUGGCACGGUUUGGAUGAAGGAAGUUUUGUUUUCCCAUAGGCCUGAAAAUGGAUCUGGUUGGAAUUAAGGUCGAUUGCUACUGCUUCUGGUCUCAGUCAUAUCGGACGGUACCAAGCGCCUACCACGUAUAUGAUGACAACCCAUUACACACUAAGCAAGAUUCAAGGCAAGGUCAGAAUUUUCGACUUGUUCUUCGCAGUAUUGAUCUAUUAAAGAUAUUAUUCUGGGGCCAGGUACGUUUCCUUACCAACUCUUUCUUUGUUGACCUUUCUUGACCUUUCAAUUUGUAUUAUCAUUACCAAUCAGGUUUGUUCUCUGAGCUUUCUUAUUUCAAUUGGUUACAAUUGUUGUUUUCUUUUAUUAACAAUUUAGUUGAUCAUUGUUGUUUUGAGGACUCAGAUACUACUGUUAUUGUGGGUGAGUUGUCCUACACCAAGGAGUCAUGGGGUUUUGUUUUUGCAAGCUUCUAUCAGGCCAAGACAAAUUCUGGAAGUCCCUGCUAACAAAAAGAAUGACUUAGCUGAUUACUGUAGCAAUGAUUUUAGUAUUUUGGACAAAAGUGAUUUUGAGUUGAUUCGCUUUUGUACUACUGCAACAUGUGGAAAUGCUAUACUUAGUAAUCCUAAUUUUGGGUGUUUGUUGGUUUUGGUUUCUUAAAUCAUAAGGAACGGAUUAAAGAAAUGAUAGUUAAUAUGCACUACAAAAAAAAGCCAAAGUUACAUUUUAAUUAUUUCUCAUGAAUGUUAUCAAAAUGAAUGAAGCUUAUACAAAAAUUUAUUGCUGCCUCCUAGAACUAUCUGACUAUCAUGGCAGUAUUCACUGCCCUAUCUAGCAGUUUAUCCAUACAAGUUCACUGCCCUAUCACUGUACACUUUCUGGGAAGAAAAAUAUGAUGCAAAGCAAGCAUGCCAAUUUUGAAGUUCGGCUUCAAGCUUGAAAGUAGCAAGCUGGUGCGAGUCAUUGCAGACCAUUCCAAUGGUGGGGCGGUUAAGCGAUCUCACUCUAGACAUGAUUUUGUUUUGAGUUUCAUGCAAUUCCAACAGGUGAUUAUCCGCCAAUUUCUCAUGAAGCUGCAAUGUUGGAGAUAUGAAGGUUGCAACAAAUUUCAAAUAUUGCCAAUGCGUCUCACAGCUUCCCAACAAAACAUAAAUGACAGUAGCUGUCUUACCCCUUUAGCAGCUCGAUAAGUUGUGGUUGCAGCUCUUCAUCUCUCAGUCUUCUGAUCCUUUGAGAUAUUGAUUCAGCACUGCAUAUGGCAACCAAAAUUCUGGCAUACAAGUCCUUUACUUCAACUCCAACUUUGUCCCUA